Molecule: ribosomal RNA, 497 nt
Filed under: uncultured bacterium
Lineage: Bacteria
Description: partial 16S ribosomal RNA
Rfam family: Bacterial small subunit ribosomal RNA
Source: RNAcentral
GACGAACGCUGGCGGCGUGCCUAAUACAUGCAAGUCGAACGCUGAAGAGAGGAGCUUGCUCUUCUUGGAUGAGUUGCGAACGGGUGAGUAACGCGUAGGUAACCUGCCUUGUAGCGGGGGAUAACUAUUGGAAACGAUAGCUAAUACCGCAUAACAAUAGGUGACACAUGUCAUUUAUUUGAAAGGGGCAAUUGCUCCACUACAAGAUGGACCUGCGUUGUAUUAGCUAGUAGGUGAGGUAACGGCUCACCUAGGCGACGAUACAUAGCCGACCUGAGUGGGUGAUCGGCCACACUGGGACUGAGACACGGCCCAGACUCCUACGGGAGGCAGCAGUAGGGAAUCUUCGGCAAUGGGGGCGACCCUGACCGAGCAACGCCGCGUGAGUGAAGAAGGUUUUCGGAUCGUAAAGCUCUGUUGUAAGUCAAGAACGAGUGUGAGAGUGGAAAGUUCACACUGUGACGGUAGCUUACCAGAAAGGGACGGCUAACUACGUG